AGAGGUCCCUCAAUUAUGAAAGGUAAUUGUACAAAGUUACUUCCCCUUUUUGUUGUGCGAGAAUAAAUAUAAUUGGCUGUCUUUUUCCUGGGUAGCGGACAGAAAAUAAUUUGCCUUAUCUAUGAGGGAACCAUUACCGAGUAGCCUUAUCUGCAAUGGAAUAUUAAACUAAAGAGAAUAUCUAUGUAGGAUUCGUCGUCUGUUAUAGAAUAUUAACCCUAAUCGCAGGGGUUAAAGGGUUAACAUCCUACACUUAUUUUAACACUGGUGCUGGACUGUUUAUGUUUCUGUGAGUGUAACUAAGAAUAGAUUAUACAUCGUAAUUCAGCCAAUUGAAGGAGCUGGAAUAUUUCUAAA
This 357-nucleotide unclassified non-coding RNA is filed under the name Hevea brasiliensis (rubber tree). The record is from RNAcentral. Lineage: Eukaryota; Viridiplantae; Streptophyta; Magnoliopsida; Malpighiales; Euphorbiaceae.